This 342-nucleotide ribosomal RNA is filed under the name uncultured bacterium. RNAcentral describes it as "bacterial SSU rRNA". It matches the Rfam family "Bacterial small subunit ribosomal RNA", at positions 8 to 352 of the family's 1533-position model. The record is from RNAcentral.
AGAAUUUGAUCAUGUGUCAAAUUGAGCGUUGGGGGCAGGCCUAACACAUGCAAGUCGAGCGGAUGACAGGAGCUUGCUCCUGGAUUCAGCGGCGGACGGGUGAGUAAUGCCUAGGAAUCUGCCUGGUAGUGGGGGACAACGUUUCGAAAGGAACGCUAAUACCGCAUACGUCCUACGGGAGAAAGCAGGGGACCUUCGGGCCUUGCGCUAUCAGAUGAGCCUAGGUCGGAUUAGCUUGUUGGUGAGGUAAUGGCUCACCAAGGCGACGAUCCGUAACUGGUCUGAGAGGAUGAUCAGCCACACUGGAACUGAGACACGGUCCAGACUCCUACGGGAGGCAGC